Molecule: ribosomal RNA, 1372 nt
Filed under: uncultured bacterium
Lineage: Bacteria
Description: bacterial SSU rRNA
Rfam family: Bacterial small subunit ribosomal RNA
Source: RNAcentral
GAUGAACGCUGGCGGCGUGCCUAAUACAUGCAAGUCGAGCGAACGGACGAGAAGCUUGCUUUUCUGAUGUUAGCGGCGGACGGGUGAGUAACACGUGGAUAACCUACCUAUAAGACUGGGAUAACUUCGGGAAACCGGAGCUAAUACCGGAUAAUAUUUUGAACCGCAUGGUUCAAAAGUGAAAGACGGUCUUGCUGUCACUUAUAGAUGGAUCCGCGCUGCAUUAGCUAGUUGGUAAGGUAACGGCUUACCAAGGCAACGAUGCAUAGCCGACCUGAGAGGGUGAUCGGCCACACUGGAACUGAGACACGGUCCAGACUCCUACGGGAGGCAGCAGUAGGGAAUCUUCCGCAAUGGGCGAAAGCCUGACGGAGCAACGCCGCGUGAGUGAUGAAGGUCUUCGGAUCGUAAAACUCUGUUAUUAGGGAAGAACAUAUGUGUAAGUAACUGUGCACAUCUUGACGGUACCUAAUCAGAAAGCCACGGCUAACUACGUGCCAGCAGCCGCGGUAAUACGUAGGUGGCAAGCGUUAUCCGGAAUUAUUGGGCGUAAAGCGCGCGUAGGCGGUUUUUUAAGUCUGAUGUGAAAGCCCACGGCUCAACCGUGGAGGGUCAUUGGAAACUGGAAAACUUGAGUGCAGAAGAGGAAAGUGGAAUUCCAUGUGUAGCGGUGAAAUGCGCAGAGAUAUGGAGGAGCACCAGUGGCGAAGGCGACUUUCUGGUCUGUAACUGACGCUGAUGUGCGAAAGCGUGGGGAUCAAACAGGAUUAGAUACCCUGGUAGUCCACGCCGUAAACGAUGAGUGCUAAGUGUUAGGGGGUUUCCGCCCCUUAGUGCCGCAGCUAACGCAUUAAGCACUCCGCCUGGGGAGUACGACCGCAAGGUUGAAACUCAAAGGAAUUGACGGGGACCCGCACAAGCGGUGGAGCAUGUGGUUUAAUUCGAAGCAACGCGAAGAACCUUACCAAAUCUUGACAUCCUUUGACAACUCUAGAGAUAGAGCCUUCCCCUUCGGGGGACAAAGUGACAGGUGGUGCAUGGUUGUCGUCAGCUCGUGUCGUGAGAUGUUGGGUUAAGUCCCGCAACGAGCGCAACCCUUAAGCUUAGUUGCCAUCAUUAAGUUGGGCACUCUAAGUUGACUGCCGGUGACAAACCGGAGGAAGGUGGGGAUGACGUCAAAUCAUCAUGCCCCUUAUGAUUUGGGCUACACACGUGCUACAAUGGACAAUACAAAGGGCAGCGAAACCGCGAGGUCAAGCAAAUCCCAUAAAGUUGUUCUCAGUUCGGAUUGUAGUCUGCAACUCGACUACAUGAAGCUGGAAUCGCUAGUAAUCGUAGAUCAGCAUGCUACGGUGAAUACGUUCCCGGGUCU